UGUGAGCCUACCCACACCGACAUCCUCCCGAAUUAGGCAUCCAAGUGCUCAUGGGGACGUGGGCUGGACAGAAGCAGUACCUCUGGGGGCAAGUUUGGGAAAGACCCUGGGGCUGUAACUACAUGAAGAGUACGUGAAGAAAAGUGUCCUUGAGUGCAACUGAGGCUGGCGGUCAACAUUAGCAUCUUCUGACAAAAAUAAAUAAGCUUUUAUUGGAGCCUGUGUGGAGUCCAAGUAGAAAAGACUGCAUGAAGGCUGCUCCCUGCCUGCGUGGCUGGCUGGGACCUGUCCCCUCUCGGGGCCACAGCACCCGUGGCUCCAAAAUGUGUACGGGCACUGGCAGCUGGGGAACAUCUCGCCAUAGGGUACGUCUGUGCUCAUCACUAUUUUGAAAGGCUGAGGGAUGAAGAAGCUCUGGGAGACGCAAGGGAUGGAAUCGGUGCGUGACACCAACAGAGGGAAGAGGAAAGUUAAGAAAGGGAGAAGCAUCUGGAAAGAAAGAAGGGCCAGUAGUUGAGGUAAAGCUGCUGGGAGGUGAAGCUGCUAGAGCAGGCCCAGUGAUAAGUCAAAGAAAACGCUAGAUAAAAGCUGUCGAGGUAUAUUCAGAAAAGCCCAAUGUUUGCAUGCUAGGAAGCGGCACACACCCUACAUGCUCCGUGCACUGCCUGGGAGAAAGAAACUGAGGGGAAGGGAAGGAGGAACAAGUGGAAAACAGCUCGUAGGAGUUUGCGUGGGGAAGAUGUGCUUGCCUUGCAAGAAGUGACGUGGUUUCAGUGCCCAUUUCCUUCUUCCUUCCUUGCACAUCCCCGUGCUCUAGGACACGAGGAGGGAAGUGCGAUGCGUGUAUAGAUGAGGAAGGAGACGAGAAAGCAGACUCUCCUUUUUAAUGUUGUUAUUUUGACACAUUUCAAACCUCAAAACCUUCUGUGCAUCUCACAGCGGAUUACAUGUAAAUGCCUGUUGGUAUUUAUAUGCCCCACGGCUUUAUUUCGAAGUCCGUUUAAUAGCGUUUUCACCUUGAAGGAGGUUCAUUAAACUUGCUUUGCUGCAGUUUGCCAUCCAGGAGAUAAUCUGCAGGCUGUUGCCACCCUAAUGCUAUGAUGGCUCGUGUGCCAUUAAAAUGGCUCAGAAGUGCCCGUCUAUAGAUCCUCAGCGCAAUACAUUGUGGCAGCGUACAGUAUAGAUCCCUUAAUCCAUAGACUAUUAUUAAAAUAGUGGAUUAAGGAGUUGGUUGGGAUCAGACCCUGCUGUAUAUGUAACAAAACAGUUUAGCUGAGAUUAGUAUUUAUUACUGGACAGAAAAAUUGAUUGAAGGAUGCGUAGACGCUGAUAAUAUCACAGCCUGGGAGACACUGAUGGAUUUGAUUAUUGUUUUUUGGCCAUACGAGUCCUUGUUAAGACCUGAGAAUAAAAUGUUCACUUUUAGUGAAGAUGUAACAAUUGAAUAACAGGAGUAAAUCUAUUAUUUAUUAACAUAUUUUUACUUCAUGCUAAUAUAAAAUGUGGUGCUUAGAUGCUUUAAAACACAUCGUGUGAGAACGUGCACAGAAAGGGCAUUCAGUUUCUUCUGAAAUAGUAACUUCAAAAACAUUUUCUGAAGAGUUCACACGAUGUUAUGUGAAUCACCGUCAACUUCAUCUAACCCAAAGCGAACUGGAAAGCAUGUAUUUUUCCGUGCAAUUUUCUCCUGUCAGCAGUCUUUCCGAAUUUGUCAGAAGGGGAAGUUUUACCCAGCCAUGUGUUAAAGUUUAACUGACUACGACGGUCGCAGUGCUACAGAGCUAUCUGUAACGCAACAGAAGGCUGUCAACAAGCCUUUUCAGUGACAUCUCCACAUUAGGAUGGCAAGCAGAUGAUUUGAGGAUUACCAGGCUGCUGGACAGUUUUCAGGUCCAGCUCCUGCAUCUUUGCAGCCCCUGGACAUACGAGGAGAUGGUUUGUAAGAAGCUUACGAAACCCCACGCAGAAGGGCACAGUGACUGGAGCUGGCACAAGGCAUCACUUUGGGAGCAAGCACGAGUUGCACGUAAGGAAGACACAACGAUGGUUGUGCCCAGAGGGGAACUGAAAGCCUUCGUGUUCCAGAAGGUGGCACCUGAAGCCACGUGGACGAAAGGACAGACCUUCAGCAGCCUUUCAGAGCAGCUCAGAGAGCAGCACUACUGCAGUCGUGUUCAAAGAACCAGGGAAUCAGCCCUGGCAAACCAGAGGGAAAAAAUACCUAGAAAAAAGCUGGUGUGCUUUGCUGAACCAACUUCCCCACGCUGCUCUCUGUGAGACAAGGUUCAAGGAGCAUCCAAUGUUUAUCUAACCCGAAACUGAAAGAUCUGUACACAGUAGCUGUUACUUCUCAUUAAUUUUAUUGAAGCCCUUUAUAAUUUAGCCCUGUGGUACUAGCAGGUUGGAUUAACUUACUGCUAGUUUCAGAAGUUACACUCCACUUUGUCAUCAUAAAAGAAAGAAACACUUCAAGAAGGCUUAGAGAAGUUCAAUCGAGCCUACCCACAAUUCUCAGACUUUCCAUAAUUUUUCACCAUUCUGAGUCCUAACGUAAAAGGCUGCAGUAAUUCAUGCUUUCACUGCAAAAGGGAAAAACAAACAAACAAAAAAAAUCCACAAACAAACAAACAA
Non-coding RNA from Anas platyrhynchos (mallard), 2631 nucleotides. Lineage: Eukaryota; Metazoa; Chordata; Aves; Anseriformes; Anatidae. The record is from RefSeq and is a predicted model, not a curated record.